RNAcentral lists this microRNA (22 nucleotides) under Monodelphis domestica (gray short-tailed opossum). RNAcentral describes it as "Mdo-Mir-7270_3p* (star (passenger))". Lineage: Eukaryota; Metazoa; Chordata; Mammalia; Didelphimorphia; Didelphidae. The record is from RNAcentral.
UCCAGGUCUGGUGUGAUCUUGU